RNAcentral lists this transfer RNA (85 nucleotides) under Verrucomicrobia bacterium S94. RNAcentral's name for it is "tRNA-Leu". It matches the Rfam family "tRNA". Rfam says of the family: Transfer RNA (tRNA) molecules are approximately 80 nucleotides in length. Their secondary structure includes four short double-helical elements and three loops (D, anti-codon, and T loops). Lineage: Bacteria; Pseudomonadati; Verrucomicrobiota. The record is from RNAcentral.
GCCGGGGUGGCGAAAUUGGUAGACGCAGGGGAUUCAAAAUCCCCCGACUUCGGUCAUAUGGGUUCGAGUCCCAUCCCCGGCACCA